This 1491-nucleotide ribosomal RNA is filed under the name uncultured Bacteroidota bacterium. Its description in RNAcentral is "bacterial SSU rRNA". It matches the Rfam family "Bacterial small subunit ribosomal RNA". The record is from RNAcentral. Lineage: Bacteria; Pseudomonadati; Bacteroidota.
GAGUUUGAUCCUGGCUCAGGAUGAACGCUAGCUACAGGCUUAACACAUGCAAGUCGAGGGGCAGCAUGGUCUUAGCUUGCUAAGACUGAUGGCGACCGGCGCACGGGUGAGUAACACGUAUCCAACCUGCCGUCUACUCUUGGACAGCCUUCUGAAAGGAAGAUUAAUACAAGAUGGCAUCAUGAGUCCGCAUGUUCACAUGAUUAAAGGUAUUCCGGUAGACGAUGGGGAUGCGUUCCAUUAGAUAGUAGGCGGGGUAACGGCCCACCUAGUCUUCGAUGGAUAGGGGUUCUGAGAGGAAGGUCCCCCACAUUGGAACUGAGACACGGUCCAAACUCCUACGGGAGGCAGCAGUGAGGAAUAUUGGUCAAUGGGCGAGAGCCUGAACCAGCCAAGUAGCGUGAAGGAUGACUGCCCUAUGGGUUGUAAACUUCUUUUAUAAAGGAAUAAAGUCGGGUAUGCAUACCCGUUUGCAUGUACUUUAUGAAUAAGGAUCGGCUAACUCCGUGCCAGCAGCCGCGGUAAUACGGAGGAUCCGAGCGUUAUCCGGAUUUAUUGGGUUUAAAGGGAGCGUAGAUGGAUGUUUAGGUCAGUUGUGAAAGUUUGCGGCUCAACCGUAAAAUUGCAGUUGAUACUGGAUAUCUUGAGUGCAGUUGAGGCAGGCGGAAUUCGUGGUGUAGCGGUGAAAUGCUUAGAUAUCACGAAGAACUCCGAUUGCGAAGGCAGCCUGCUAAGCUGCAACUGACAUUGAGGCUCGAAAGUGUGGGUAUCAAACAGGAUUAGAUACCCUGGUAGUCCACACGGUAAACGAUGAAUACUCGCUGUUUGCGAUAUACUGCAAGCGGCCAAGCGAAAGCGUUAAGUAUUCCACCUGGGGAGUACGCCGGCAACGGUGAAACUCAAAGGAAUUGACGGGGGCCCGCACAAGCGGAGGAACAUGUGGUUUAAUUCGAUGAUACGCGAGGAACCUUACCCGGGCUUAAAUUGCAGAUGAAUUACGGUGAAAGCCGUAAGCCGCAAGGCAUCUGUGAAGGUGCUGCAUGGUUGUCGUCAGCUCGUGCCGUGAGGUGUCGGCUUAAGUGCCAUAACGAGCGCAACCCUUGUUGUCAGUUACUAACAGGUCAUGCUGAGGACUCUGACAAGACUGCCAUCGUAAGAUGUGAGGAAGGUGGGGAUGACAUCAAAUCAGCACGGCCCUUACGUCCGGGGCUACACACGUGUUACAAUGGGGGGUACAGAGGGCCGCUACCACGCGAGUGGAUGCCAAUCCCAAAAACCUCUCUCAGUUCGGACUGGAGUCUGCAACCCGACUCCACGAAGCUGGAUUCGCUAGUAAUCGCGCAUCAGCCACGGCGCGGUGAAUACGUUCCCGGGCCUUGUACACACCGCCCGUCAAGCCAUGGGAGCCGGGGAUACCUGAAGUGCGUAACCGCGAGGAGCGCCCUAGGGUAAAACUGGUGACUGGGGCUAAGUCGUAACAAGGUAACCGUA